AUUGAACGCUGGCGGUAGGCCUAACACAUGCAAGUCGAACGCGAAAGUCCUUCGGAUGAGUAGAGUGGCGGACGGGUGAGUAACGCGUAGGAAUCUAUCCUGUAGUGGGGGAGUAACGUUUCGAAAGGAACGCUAAUACCGCAUACGCCCCAACGGGGGAAAGGCGGGGGAGUCUUCGGACCUCGUGCUAUAGGAGGAGCCUGCGUCGGAUUAGCUAGUUGGUGAGGUAAAGGCUCACCAAGGCGACGAUCCGUAGCUGGUCUGAGAGGAUGAUCAGCCACACCGGAACUGAGACACGGUCCGGACUCCUACGGGAGGCAGCAGUGGGGAAUAUUGCGCAAUGGGCGAAAGCCUGACGCAGCCAUACCGCGUGUGUGAAGAAGGCC
RNAcentral lists this ribosomal RNA (386 nucleotides) under uncultured bacterium. Its description in RNAcentral is "bacterial SSU rRNA". It matches the Rfam family "Bacterial small subunit ribosomal RNA", at positions 29 to 416 of the family's 1533-position model. The record is from RNAcentral.